This is a non-coding RNA of Prunus mume (Japanese apricot), 2057 nucleotides long. The record is from RefSeq and is a predicted model, not a curated record. NCBI's taxonomy places the organism in Eukaryota, Viridiplantae, Streptophyta, Magnoliopsida, Rosales, Rosaceae.
CUUCCUCGAGACUUUCUCAACGUCAUUUGCCUGCAAAACAAUCGCCAAAUGUUUUGUUACCCAAAUUACCCUGAAUGAUAUUGAUAAUUCCAUCCAUAUCCAUGUAAUGCCAACUUAACCCAUUUCUCUGUUACCCAAAUUGAGACGCGCAUCAAACUGGGAACCACGACUCCAAGGAUCGUAGAGGUUCGCUCGCAGCCAACAAAAUCUCACCAUUUCUCCUCAUCCCCACACCCAUCAUCUCCAGUCCCUACUCUACAUCAGUAGUGAAAAUAUUAUUUUCUUUUCUUACUCCACGACUUGGUUUUGGACUUGGACUUGGCCAUCAGUCAUCACCCCCGGUGUAGUGUAUGCGGAAGAUAUACCUAGCUAGGUCCAAGCGUCCUGGUCCAGUGGAAGUUCUCUGGCCUUCUAUAGUGAGUUGUUGAAUUAUUACACGGUGGCGGCUCUUGGUGCCAUGCCUGCUAUGAACAAGAAUUCUGAGCGAAGUCACAUUGGGAACGUAUUCAACAAGUUGCUGAAGCAGAUUGGAAAUCCUGUAGAUUUUGAACUUCCAGAUUGGUUUAAUAAAUGGAAACCGAUGCCCUACACUUUUAUAAAGCGCAAUAUAUAUCUCACGAAGAAGAUUAAAAGACGACUUGAGGAUGAUGGCAUAUUCUGUUCCUGCAGCCCAUCACAAGGGUCUUCUAGUGUUUGCGGUAGAGAUUGCCAUUGUGGGAUGCUUCUGUCUAGCUGCUCCUCAGUCUGUAAAUGUGGAAGUUCCUGUCUGAACAAACCAUUCCAGCACCGGCCUGUGAAGAAGAUGAAACUGGUGCAGACUGAGAAAUGUGGUUCUGGAAUUGUGGCGGAUGAAGAUAUUAAGCAAGGAGAAUUUGUGAUAGAAUAUGUGGGAGAAGUUAUUGAUGACAAAACAUGCGAGGAAAGGCUAUGGAAUAUGAAACACCGUGGAGAAACAAACUUUUACUUAUGUGAAAUCAAUCGAGAUAUGGUUAUUGAUGCCACAUACAAAGGAAACAAGUCGAGAUAUAUAAACCAUAGUUGUUGUCCUAAUACUGAGAUGCAAAAAUGGAUAAUCGAUGGCGAAACAAGAAUUGGUAUAUUCGCAACUCGUGAUGUAAAAAAGGGAGAACACCUGACCUAUGAUUAUCAGUUUGUUCAAUUUGGUGCAGAUCAAGAUUGCCAUUGCGGUGCACGUGAUUGUCGGCGAAAACUUGGUGUCAGACCUACCAAGCCAAAGAUGUCAUCAGUUGCUGCUUUGAAACUAGUAGCAUGUCAGGUGGCUGUGUCCUCUCCCAAAUUGAAAGCAAUUCUUUCUGCUAAAGACGUUUAUCAGAACGGGGGUCUACAUAUAGGAAAUUCACAACCUUUCCAUAACCAAAGAGGUACACGUUCUUGUAAUUGCAUUGGUGAAGUGAUUCGAAUAAGUCGCCCCACGAAUCAGAGAUCCUUUGGGAUUAUCAAGCGGUUUGAUAGAUAUUCCAAAAAACACUCAAUCAUGUUUGAAGAUGGUGGCAUCGAAUUCCUUGACAUGUCAAAAGAAGAAUGGGAACUUGUAACACUGUGAUAUGAUUGUGAGUUUUGUAGGUUUUAUAUGAACUUCAAAGGAGUUGCUGGAGUUGGGGGGCCCUGGCCACAUCAGGCCUAUGUGUGGUUCUGUCCAUGACUUUAUCGACAUUUGUGUUCAUGAUUCUGCUGAAGCAAGGAUGACGUGUGGUGGUCCGCAAUCGUAACAUGUAUGACAGUACCCAAUAACUAAAGUUAGUGAACGCUGAUUUAGAUUUCAAUCUGCUGUCUCAUUAAACAAAGGAUCAAUUCUUUGCAAUGCAUGUUGUAACAAAUGUACCAAACCUAAGUGAUAAUAAAGCCCCCCCCCCCUCCCUAAAGAGAAAAAAAAAGAAAAGAAUCAGAGGUGUUAAUCUCGCAAAGCAAGUAUUUUAUAUUCCUUGCAUAGGGCUGAUGAGGAUGUUGUAUUAAAUAUAUUCUGCACCUUUUCUUUUCUUUUCUUGUUUGGAUAAUAAGUAUGCGUCUGUUCUAGUUUAAUAAGAGAUUAUUGUUGU